RNAcentral lists this ribosomal RNA (301 nucleotides) under uncultured bacterium. Its description in RNAcentral is "partial 16S ribosomal RNA". It matches the Rfam family "Bacterial small subunit ribosomal RNA", at positions 509 to 809 of the family's 1533-position model. The record is from RNAcentral.
CAGCAGCCGCGGGAAUACGUAGGUGGCAAGCGUUGUCCGGAAUUAUUGGGCGUAAAGCGCGCGCAGGCGGCCUAUCCAGUCUGUCUUAAAAGUUCGGGGCUCAACCCCGUGAUGGGAUGGAAACUAGUAGGCUAGAGUAUCGGAGAGGAAAGCGGAAUUCCUAGUGUAGCGGUGAAAUGCGUAGAUAUUAGGAGGAACACCAGUGGCGAAGGCGGCUUUCUGGACGAAAACUGACGCUGAGGCGCGAAAGCCAGGGGAGCGAACGGGAUUAGAUACCCGAGUAGUCCCUGUCUCUUAUACA